Molecule: long non-coding RNA, 796 nt
Filed under: Homo sapiens (human)
Lineage: Eukaryota; Metazoa; Chordata; Mammalia; Primates; Hominidae
Description: non-protein coding lnc-TMEM202-4:1
Source: RNAcentral
AUGACUAACACAAAGGGAAAGAGGAGAGGUAUCCAAUAUAUGUUCUCUAGGCCUUGGAAAAAACAUGGAGUUGUUCCUUUGGCCAUGUAUAUGCGAAUCUAUAAGAAAUAUGAUAUCGUAGACAUCAAGGAAAUGGAUACUGUUCAAAAAGGAAUGUCCCAGAAGUGUUACCAUGGCAAAACUGGAAGAGUUUACAGUGAUACCCAGCAUGAUGUUGGCAUUGUUGUAAGCAAACAAGGGCCAGAUUCUUGCCAAGAGAAUUAACGUGCAUAUUGAGUGCAUUAAGCACUCUGAGAACAGAGAUAGCUUCCUGAAAUCGUGAAGGAAAAUGAUCAGAAAAAGAAGGAAGCCAAAGAGAAAAGAGCCUGGGUUCACCCUGAAGCACCAGCCUGCUCCACCCAGAGAAGCACACUUUUUUGUUUGUUUUUUGUUUGUUUUUGAGACAGAGUCUGGCUCUGUCACCCAGGCUGGAAUGCAAUGGCGCAAUCUCAGCUCACUGCAACCUCUGCCUCCCGUGUUCAAGCGAUUCUCCUGCCUCAGCCUCCCGAGUAGUUGGGAUUACAGGCACCCACCACCACGCCCGGCUAAUUUUUGUAUUUUUAGUAGAGACGAGGUUUCACCAUGUUGGUCAGGCUGGUCUCGAACUCCUGGCCUCAAGUGAUCCGCCCACCUCAUCCUCCCAAAGUACUGGGAUUACAGGUGUGAGCCACCAUGCCCAGCCUCAGAGAAGCACACUUUGUGAGAAAUAAUAGAAAGAAGCCUGGGCUGCUGGUAGGUGUUAAAAAAAAAAAAACUC